Schistocerca americana (American grasshopper) is the source of this 454-nucleotide long non-coding RNA. RefSeq lists it as uncharacterized. The transcript has 4 exons. Lineage: Eukaryota; Metazoa; Arthropoda; Insecta; Orthoptera; Acrididae. The record is from RefSeq and is a predicted model, not a curated record.
CAAAAGAGCAACCUGAGACCUAAAAGAAAUGUUCUCAACUAUAAUGUCAGUGGCCACAGAUUAAUUGAUUGUAACGCCAAGGGCAAAGGAAAUAAAUGCUUCGCUCUAGAGUCUGAUUAUCUCCUCCGAAUUUACGAAGAGCUUCAUAUUUUUUUAGAUGCAGCACAUUAACCCAAGAUGACCAGAGUCUGCAGAACUUUUACUCUAAAAUCAUUGUUAUCAGUGUUGGUGAUAAUGCUAUCAAUGAUUAGCUAUCUUUGAUCAGUCACUACAAACAAAACAGUCACCUAUAAGUGCAGAAUUCACAACAUGGACUGAACUCUCCACAAGCUUGGGGGAAAUUGUUCUACAAAUUUUGGAAGUCAAUUUGCUUGUUGAAGUAUUAUUCCAUUUUUUGACAACUGGACAACGAAGAAAGUAGUAACACUAUAAAGAAGGACUUCAUGUCGUUUAU